Molecule: long non-coding RNA, 1035 nt
Organism: Talpa occidentalis (Iberian mole)
Lineage: Eukaryota; Metazoa; Chordata; Mammalia; Eulipotyphla; Talpidae
Exons: 3
Source: RefSeq, a predicted model, not a curated record
GUGAGCCGGGGCCUCUUCUUCGGAUGGCAAGUCCGCCUUCCCCGGACCCCAGAUGCGCAGGUUGCCUUUCGGGAAGGCAGAGUUCAUGGCUCGAAAUUCCAUCAGGUUUCUCUGGCCCAAAUGUAAGGGCUCACACUCUCAGUCUCCACUUCUGAAGUUCCUGAUGGGCCAAGCAGACCGGUGAGAGGGCCUGAGUCACACACACGCUGAGGAUACCUGGAGAUUCUAUCCAUGUCUGAAGGAAGCUGUAUCCACAGAUGACCACUAAAGGACAAUUUAAGGCAAUAUUCUGGCCUGCAAAAAACGUGGUUAGCCUGUUCUUGGUAAGAGCGAUAGCAGAAUGGUAAAGGUCCUGCCUGUGCAGGGCUGGGAAAAGACAUGACAAGUCAACUCCAGGCUUGGGUUGGCUACUGAUUCACUGGAAGACUGUCUUCUGGGAAUAUUUAUGCAGCUCAGAAAGGUGAAAGUGCAAAUUUAUUUCCUUUUGGCAAAUAUAGAAUGCAUAGAUUUCAUGUCUCCCUAGUGGGACACCGCACAAAUCAAAACUUUGAAUAAAGUGUAAGAAAAGUGAACAUCUGGGCCAGAAAACAAAAGAAAAUGUGUAAGAAGGCAAAAGAAAGAAGAUACCCAAAUCUAGCAAGUUGUACUAGCCUUACAUUGGAAGAUAAAGAAAGGGAACAACCUAAAAAAUUAGGUUGAGCUGCUAUAAACUCAGAUGAGUUUUACUGACUCCCAAAAAAGCAAGAAGAAAUAUAAUAGAGGGGGCCUCUCUGGUGGCGCAAGGGGUUGAGACGCAACCUGUGAAGCUAACCACAGCCACUGCAGCAUGAGUUUGAUCCCCGGCCAGGGAGAUACCCACAUGGCGCAGCAGAUCUCUCCUGAUUCACGCGCUGCUCCCCUCAGCAGUGAAUUCCAGUCACUCUGCCUAUUCUGUUCCCCACUCUGUCUCUGGUGAAUCCUCUCACCCCUACACCUCUGGCCUGUACCCCAGUUCUUGUAUGCAUAAAUAAAUCUUUUGAUUUUUAUUAAAAAUUA